CGGACGGGUGAGUAACGCGUGGAUAACCUGCCUCACACUGGGGGAUAACAGUUAGAAAUGGCCGCUAAUACCGCAUAAGCGCACAGUACCGCAUGGUACGGUGUGAAAAACCCAGGUGGUGUGAGAUGGAUCCGCGUCUGAUUAGCCAGUUGGCGGGUAACGGCCCACCAAAGCGACGAUCAGUAGCCGACCUGAGAGGGUGACCGGCCACAUUGGGACUGAGACACGGCCCAA
RNAcentral lists this ribosomal RNA (234 nucleotides) under uncultured bacterium. RNAcentral's name for it is "partial 16S ribosomal RNA". It matches the Rfam family "Bacterial small subunit ribosomal RNA", at positions 99 to 334 of the family's 1533-position model. The record is from RNAcentral.